GGUAAGAUGGCUGAAAUUAGGUGAUAAACUGUAAAUUUAUUUAUGAGAAUAAAUUCUCUCUUGCCA
RNAcentral lists this transfer RNA (66 nucleotides) under Nothochrysa sinica. Its description in RNAcentral is "tRNA-Tyr". The record is from RNAcentral. Lineage: Eukaryota; Metazoa; Arthropoda; Insecta; Neuroptera; Chrysopidae.